AUACGAAGGGGGCUAGCGUUGCUCGGAAUCACUGGGCGUAAAGCGCACGUAGGCGGACUCUUAAGUCAGGGGUGAAAUCCUGGAGCUCAACUCCAGAACUGCCUUUGAUACUGGGAGUCUUGAGUUCGGGAGAGGUGAGUGGAACUGCGAGUGUAGAGGUGAAAUUCGUAGAUAUUCGCAAGAACACCAGUGGCGAAGGCGGCUCACUGGCCCUAUACUGACGCUGAGGUGCGAAAGCGUGGGGAGCAAACA
This 252-nucleotide ribosomal RNA is filed under the name uncultured prokaryote. RNAcentral's name for it is "partial 16S ribosomal RNA". It matches the Rfam family "Bacterial small subunit ribosomal RNA", at positions 523 to 774 of the family's 1533-position model. The record is from RNAcentral.